AGGACGAACGCUUGCGACGUGCCUAAGAAAUGCAAGUCGAACGGGGUCAGACUUCGGUUUGGCCUAGUGGCGAACGGUCGCGUAACACGUAGGCAACCUGCCCUGAAGCGGGGGACAACAGCUUGAAAGAGCUGCUAAUACCGCAUGUGUUUGUUUGGUGGCAUCAUCGAACAAACAAAGCCUUCGGGCACUUCAGGAUGGGCCUGCGGCCUAUCAGCUAGUUGGUGAGGUAACGGCUCACCAAGGCUUCGACGGGUAGCUGGUCUGAGAGGACGAUCAGCCGGAUUGGGGACUGAGAUACGGCCCAGACUCCUACGGGGGGCAGCAAUUAGGAAUCUUGCACAAUGGGGGAAACCCUGAUGCAGCGACGUCGCGUGGGGGACAAAUCUUUCGGGAUGUAAACCCCUUUGAGUGGGAAGAAACAAUGACGGUACCACUCGAAUAGCCCCGGCUAACUACGCGCCAGCAGCCGC
RNAcentral lists this ribosomal RNA (473 nucleotides) under uncultured bacterium. RNAcentral describes it as "SSU rRNA". It matches the Rfam family "Bacterial small subunit ribosomal RNA", at positions 26 to 518 of the family's 1533-position model. The record is from RNAcentral.